GGUAAUUUCUUUUACUAUUUUAAUUAUAUUCCUUUGAUCGAUCAAUUAUUGAUUGUGUUUCCUAAAAGAAGUUAUACCAUGAUUAAUUGUCUUUAGAUGAAUUAAUUAUAUUUCCCUUUUAUAUAACAAGAAGACUUCUUCGUAAGAGAAAAAAAUGAAAAUAAGAACUGAACCUAUAAUGCUUCAGCUAUUGAUGAAUUGCUUGAACAAACUCAACAUGAAUUCGACAAAUUUCUCGAAAAAAUUAAGAUCUUUUUGGGAUAUGUGUGGAGGUAAAAACUUAUCUUUGGUUCCAAGUUCAAACUAGCAUACUUUGAGAAUACUGAUCGAUGGAGCAAUAAGAUCAUUUGCAUUUCCAUUGUAGUCAAUUUAAGGUUUAAGAUUAUAGAUGAAAUAAACAUUAGAUGUUUGAGGAUACAACUGGAAUUUGAAUAUAUGAUAUAUAUAUAUAUAUACACACACACGCAUGGCACGACACUAAUGAUGUCUACACGAUGUGGCAUGACACAUAAGAUUUGAGGUCUACACCUCAUGACCCCAUUGAGACCUAAAAUCAUUUCUCUAUUUAUAUUUUGUACUCUGAUGCUUAUGAAACUCAAAUCACUAAAUUAUGGUUGUGUUGCUUAUGCUCCUUGUUGCUUAUGUGUGUUAUGUACUUAUUGAUAUGAUAAGCAUGAUAUACUAUGUUGCUUAGCUGGAUGAUCUAUCCAUGACCAGGAUGAAGCUUGGCUGAAACUAAGUGGAGGUUUGAACCGACUGAUAUUGAAUAAUCAGUAGAUGAGUUGUGGUUAGGGGUGAAAUGUCACUCGAACCCAGAGCUAGUUGUUUCUCCUCGAAAUGCGUUGAAUCACAAUAGUUGACUGUACAUCUAGGGGUAAAACAAUGUUUCGAUGCUGGCUGUAAGAGCGGUACUGAAUCGAGGCAAACUCUAAAUACUAGAUAUGACCUCAAAAUAACAGGAGCAAUGUCGGCCAGUGAGACAGUGGGAGAUAAUCUUCAUCGUCGAGAGGGAAACAACCUAGAUCACUAGCUAAGGCCUUUAAAUGACCACUUCGUAAAUGAGGUAGGGGUUCAGAGACAACCAUGAGGUUUUCCUAGAAGCAUUCACUCUUGAAAGAGUGCAUAGUAGCUCACUGAUGAGCACUCUUGCGCCGAAGAUGAACGGGGCUAAGCAAUUUGCCAAAGUUGUGGGCUGUAAAAAUGCAUCUGCAGGGGAGCGUUCCGCCUAGAGGGAAGCAACCGCGCGAGCAGCGGUGGACGAAGUGGAAGCGAGAAUGUCAGCUUGAGUAACACAAAAAUUUAUGAGAAUCUAAUGCCCUGAAAACUCAAGGGUUCCUCCACGAGAUUCAUCCACGAAGGGUGAGUUAGGGCCUAAGAUCAGGUCAAAAGGCAUAGUCAAUAGACAACAAGUGAAUAUUCAUGUACUACCCCUUGUUGGUCCCGAGGAACGAAUGAGGCAAGGUUAGUCGAAAGAUGGUUAUCGUUUCAAGGACGUGAGGUGCCCCUGAUUUUUCUGGGUAAGAAGGGCAGAGAAAAUGCCCUAAAGUAACCUAUGCCAUACUCCCAGGAAAAGCUCGAACGGCCUUCAACAAAAGGGUACCUGUACUCGAAACUGACACAGGUGGGUAGGUAGAGAAUACAUGGGGGCACGAGAUAACUCUCUCUAAGGAACUCGACAAAAUAGCUCCGUAACUUCGGAAGAAGGGGUGCUUCCUCACAAAGGAGGUCGCAGUGACUGGGCCCGGGUUAGGACUGUUCCGUUUCAGUUCAGUUCGCCUACUUUUAAAACCGAAAACUGAUCAUAAAGGAUUAUUUCGGUUCAUUUUUUUACUUCGGUUUAUCGAUUUUUCUUGGAUUUUUUUUAAAGAAAACUGUAACAAAAAAAAUAGAAACUAUUGUUCCGAAUCAUUAUAGAAACAUGUUACAUACUAUUUUUUCCAGAACUUCGUAUCGAAAUGAACAUCAAAUAUAAUUAACCUAUAGAUCCCAUAUAAGAUUAUAAAUUCAAAUGUCCAAAUAUCCAUGCAAGAUUACAAAUUCAAAUGUCCAAAUGUUCAUGCAAGAUUACAAAUUCAAAUGUCCAAUUGUUCAUGCAAGAUUACAAAUUCAAAUGUCCAAAUGCAAGUUAAAUAAACAUCAAACACGAUAACACAUAAAAUGCAAACAUUGCAAAGUUUCAAAAGCCUCCAAGUCCAAGAGCUUAUCACAAAGUCUCCAACUUCUGUGAAAAUCAAAGAAAUAAAAAUAUUUACAACAUGAAAGAAAGCUUAGAACAAGAAACCAAUCAAAGUCAUCAAACUAAACAAAAAGAAAAUAAUAUACCCAACAACAUUAAGCUUGAUUGAUACUUGUAGGAGGUCCCAUAUUACCAUUUGAUGAAGCCGAACAAGAUUCCUUACGGAGUUCUACAUAACAACAAAAUAUAGAGAAACUAUUAGAAUGCAAUAUAACAAAACAAACCAACAAAGUAACAAACUAAACAAAAAUAUAUUCAAUAAAAUAGUACCUUCAAUUACAAUAUCACAAAACUCCAUAUCAUAGAUGGUUGGGUCUUCAUGUAAGGCAACAUAUGUACCCUUAAGCUAAUUUUGUGUACAAAUCAAAGUCUCCACCAUCUUUGGACUCAACGAACUACGAAAUGGAUUGAUGACACUACCACUUGUGCUAAAGGAAGAUUCCAAAGCUAUAGUUGACACCGGAAUUGGUAGACAUCAUUUGCAACUCUAGCCAAUAUUGGGUACUUAGAAGCUCCACACACUCUCCACCAAUCCAAUAUGUCAAAGUUCUCAUCCUCGUCUCAUUUAACGGAAUCCGCUAGAUAUUUCUCCACAUCAUUAGAAGUAACUCCAACUUUCAUUUCUUUUCUUCUUUGUUGUUUUUCAGCCAACCUUCUUUCAAAUCAAAUGGAACCAACAAUU
RNAcentral lists this ribosomal RNA (2918 nucleotides) under Geum urbanum. Its description in RNAcentral is "bacterial LSU rRNA". The stretch from base 621 to 1825 matches the Rfam family "Bacterial large subunit ribosomal RNA", at positions 572 to 2043 of the family's 2925-position model. Lineage: Eukaryota; Viridiplantae; Streptophyta; Magnoliopsida; Rosales; Rosaceae. The record is from RNAcentral.